RNAcentral lists this ribosomal RNA (795 nucleotides) under uncultured bacterium. RNAcentral describes it as "bacterial SSU rRNA". It matches the Rfam family "Bacterial small subunit ribosomal RNA", at positions 8 to 790 of the family's 1533-position model. The record is from RNAcentral.
AGAGUUGAUCAUGGCUCAGGACGAACGCUGGCGGCGUGCUUAACACAUGCAAGUCGAGCGGUAGGGCCCUUUUGGGGGUACACGAGCGGCGAACGGGUGAGUAACACGUGGGUGACCUGCCCUCAGCUCUGGGAUAAGCCUGGGAAACUGGGUCUAAUACCGGAUGUGACCUUUCCUCGCAUGGGGUUGGGUGGAAAGUCCUGGGCGUGAUUGUCUGGGUUCGGCUGGGGAUGGGCCCGCGGCCUAUCAGCUUGUUGGUGGGGUGAUGGCUUACCAAGCGACGACGGGUAGCCGGCCUGAGAGGGCGUCCGGCCACACUGGUACUGAGACACGGCCCAGACUCCUACGGGAGGCAGCAGUGGGGAAUAUUGCGCAAUGGGCGGAAGCCUGACGCAGCGACGCCGCGUGGGGGAUGACGGCCUUCGGGUUGUAAACCUCUUUCGUCAUCGACGAAGGCCUGUGGGUGAUUCUGCGGGUUGACGGUAGGUGGAGAAGAAGCACCGGCCAACUACGUGCCAGCAGCCGCGGUAAUACGUAGGGUGCGAGCGUUGUCCGGAAUUAUUGGGCGUAAAGAGCUCGUAGGCGGUGUGUCGCGUCGGUCGUGAAAACUUGGGGCUUAACCCUGAGCUUGCGGUCGAUACGGGCAUCACUUGAGUUCGGCAGGGAGACUGGAAUCCUGGUGUAGCGGUGAAUGCGCACGAUAUCAGGAGGAACACGGUGGCGAAGGCGGGUCUCUGGGCGAUACUGACGCUGAGGAGCGAAAGCGUGGGGAGCGACAGGAUUAAGAUACCCCUU